AUUUAACAUAUUUAAUGUCCGAAGCAGAUAUUUUCUAAAAGAAUUGUAGAGCAGUGUGAGUGACAAGGUGGACAGUUUUGGCUAAAGUUAGCAUUUAAUGACCACAUGUUGGACCUUAAGUUGGUCAGUAGGUCAUCUUAGAAUAGGACUGUGUAAUGUUCAACAAAUAUAUUUAGAAUUUCUGAAAAGUUUUAUAUUAAAUGUUAUUUUGUGGUGACAGGGUGGACAUGCUAAG
Molecule: long non-coding RNA, 235 nt
Organism: Sphaeramia orbicularis (orbiculate cardinalfish)
Lineage: Eukaryota; Metazoa; Chordata; Actinopteri; Kurtiformes; Apogonidae
Exons: 3
Source: RefSeq, a predicted model, not a curated record